CUGAGUCUUGUAUUGGAAUGAUGGGAAUCUAAACCCCUUCCAGAGUAUCAAUUGGAGGGCAAGUCUGGUGCCAGCAGCCGCGGUAAUUCCAGCUCCAAUAGCGUAUAUUAAACUUGUUGCAGUUAAAAAGCUCGUAGUUGAAUUUCUGCUGUUUCGUUGACUGCGUUUGGCGUUUGUCAUCGUUGCGGCUUGGUUGGGUUUCGAUUAUUCGUUUCCCGGCGUUUACUUUGAGAAAAUUAGAGUGCUUGAAGCAGGCUUUUGCCUUGAAUACUUUAGCAUGGAAUAACGGAGUAGGACUUUGGUUCUAUUUUGUUGGUUUUAGGAGCCAGAGUAAUGGUUAAUAGGAACAGUUGGGGGCAUUCGUAUUUGACUGUCAGAGUAAA
RNAcentral lists this ribosomal RNA (383 nucleotides) under Theileria equi. Its description in RNAcentral is "SSU rRNA". It matches the Rfam family "Eukaryotic small subunit ribosomal RNA", at positions 497 to 915 of the family's 1831-position model. Lineage: Eukaryota; Apicomplexa; Aconoidasida; Piroplasmida; Theileriidae. The record is from RNAcentral.